This 496-nucleotide ribosomal RNA is filed under the name uncultured bacterium. Its description in RNAcentral is "partial 16S ribosomal RNA". It matches the Rfam family "Bacterial small subunit ribosomal RNA", at positions 28 to 506 of the family's 1533-position model. The record is from RNAcentral.
GAUGAACGCUGGCGGCGUGCCUAAUACAUGCAAGUCGAGCGAACAGAUGAGGAGCUUGCUCCUCUGACGUUAGCGGCGGACGGGUGAGUAACACGUGGAUAACCUACCUAUAAGACUGGGAUAACUUCGGGAAACCGGAGCUAAUACCGGAUAAUAUAUUGAACCGCAUGGUUCAAUAGUGAAAGACGGUUUUGCUGUCACUUAUAGAUGGAUCCGCGCCGCAUUAGCUAGUUGGUAAGGUAACGGCUUACCAAGGCAACGAUGCGUAGCCGACCUGAGAGGGUGAUCGGCCACACUGGAACGGAGACACGGUCCAGACUCCUACGGGAGGCAGCAGUAGGGAAUCUUCCGCAAUGGGCGAAAGCCUGACGGAGCAACGCCGCGUGAGUGAUGAAGGUCUUCGGAUCGUAAAACUCUGUUAUUAGGGAAGAACAAAUGUGUAAGUAACUAUGCACGUCUGGACGGUACCUAAUCAGAAAGCCACGGCUAACUACGU